Sorghum bicolor (sorghum) is the source of this 829-nucleotide long non-coding RNA. RefSeq lists it as uncharacterized. Lineage: Eukaryota; Viridiplantae; Streptophyta; Magnoliopsida; Poales; Poaceae. The record is from RefSeq and is a predicted model, not a curated record. The transcript is spliced from 2 exons.
AAAAAACGGUAAUGCUACCGGUCGUCCGAACCCAUCGGACGAGCACGUCGGCAAUCCGGAUGGAUGGUAGGCAAUUGCUCCACGGCUUAUCCUUUCUAUCUCUACCUUUUCUGCUCUCACCUCGCUACUCCCCUGCCGCUGCUGUUGCCCACGCCUAUGCGUUCGCAUGCCGCUCCUCCUGCGGCCCGCCCCAUGCCACAACGGCCGGUGAGCCUCCCUCCCUCCCCUCUGCGAUCUUCGUGCUCUCCAUGCGAACGGAGUGGAUGCCACAACGGUCGGUGUGCCAUCCUCUCCCCCCCCCCCCCCCCCCCCCCCCCUCUGCGACCCGGAGUAGAGGUGAAGGAGGCGGCUUCCAGCGAGUCGCGCACCUCCCUCUGCUCUCUCUUCCUCGCUCUCCGACCUCCAUGCAUCUGGAGAGGAGAGAAAUGGUGGUGACUUUCGGCAAGGUCUAGAUCUAAGAGAUGCGACAGUGGCUAGGGUUCCGGCAAGCUCUCAGGUUCAGAUCUCGCCGUGUUGUAAUGGUUCUCUCUUGAUGUUGCAGUAGGUUUAAGCCAAUGUUGAAGUACUAUUUUUAGAUGUUUUGCAGUAUAUUUCAAUUUCUUCGGUCUGCAUGUUGCAGUAGUCGUUGUUGCAUGUGUGUUUCAGCGGUUGCUCGGUAUUAUUGUAACAAUAUCUUCUUGGUGUUUCAGAAGCUGCGGCUUAAUAUUUCAGUUGUUUUUUUUUGUUGUUGUAACAAUACAUUCAAAAUGUUUCAACUUCAUCAUCGCAAUGUUGGAGUUAUUAUCCUUUCAUGUUGUUGCAAUAUAUAUGUUUUAUGGUGUUUCAAAUA